GUACCUUUCUUAGCCUUUUGGCUAAGAACAAGUGUAGUUAUAUGUUCUUAUCAGUUUAAUAUUCGAUACAUGGCCCAUUGUUUUACAUGAUAUUAAAUUAAUUUUUCAUGGUGGAUUCCCCACCGCACAGCAGCUUGGCUGCUUGGGGUAUUCGAGCGUUGCCACGGCUUUGCAUUACAGCCCAGGUCUGGCGUACCGCUC
Non-coding RNA from Cucumis sativus (cucumber), 201 nucleotides. The record is from Rfam. Lineage: Eukaryota; Viridiplantae; Streptophyta; Magnoliopsida; Cucurbitales; Cucurbitaceae.